UACGAAGGGUGCAAGCGUUACUCGGAAUUACUGGGCGUAAAGGGUGCGUAGGUGGUUGUUUAAGUCUGUUGUGAAAGCCCCGGGCUCAACCUGGGAAUGGCAAUGGAUACUGGACAGCUAGAGUGCGGUAGAGGGUAGUGGAAUUCCCGGUGUAGCAGUGAAAUGCGUAGAUAUCGUGAGGAAGACCAGUGGCGAAGGCGGAUCUCUGGACAGCUCCUGACGCUGAGGCGCGAAGGCUAGGGGAGCAAACGGG
Molecule: ribosomal RNA, 253 nt
Filed under: uncultured bacterium
Lineage: Bacteria
Description: partial 16S ribosomal RNA
Rfam family: Bacterial small subunit ribosomal RNA
Source: RNAcentral